ACUACGGGUGGCAGCAGUGAGGAAUAUUGGUCAAUGGGCGGAAGCCUGAACCAGCCAAGUAGCGUGCAGGAUGACGGCCCUACGGGUUGUAAACUGCUUUUAUACGGGAAUAACGCGCCUUACGUGUAGGGCUUUGCAUGUACCGUAUGAAUAAGGAACGGCUAAUUACGUGCCAGCAGCCGCGGUAAUAAGGAAGGUCCGGGCGUUAUCCGGAUUUAUGGGGUUUAAAGGGAUCGUAGGCCGAAUGUUAAGGGUGCGGUGAAAUGGCGGGGCUGAACCCGGGCCUUGAAGCGCGAACUGGCGUGCUUGAGUCCGCGGAAAGCAGGCGGAAUUCGUCGUGUAGCGGUGAAAUGCUUAGAUAUGACGAAGAACCCCGAUUGCGAAGGCAGCUUGCUGCAGCGGAACUGACGCUGAUGCUCGAAAGCGCGGGUAUCGAACAGGAUUAGAUACCCUUGUAGUC
Molecule: ribosomal RNA, 460 nt
Filed under: uncultured bacterium
Lineage: Bacteria
Description: partial 16S ribosomal RNA
Rfam family: Bacterial small subunit ribosomal RNA
Source: RNAcentral